This 403-nucleotide unclassified non-coding RNA is filed under the name soil metagenome. Its description in RNAcentral is "partial contains 5.8S ribosomal RNA, internal transcribed spacer 2, and large subunit ribosomal RNA". The stretch from base 1 to 121 matches the Rfam family "5.8S ribosomal RNA", at positions 35 to 154 of the family's 154-position model. The record is from RNAcentral.
GAUGAAGAACGCAGUGAAAUGCGAUAAGUAAUGUGAAUUGCAGAAUUCAGUGAAUCAUCGAAUCUUUGAACGCACCUUGCGCCCUUUGGCUAUUCCGAAGGGCAUGCCUGUUUGAGUAUCAUGAACACCUCAACUCUUCAUGGCUUGCCGUGAUGAGUUUGGACUUUGGGGGUCUUGCUGGCCUACGAGCCAGCUCCUCUCAAAUGUAUUAGCUUGCCGGUGUUUGGUGGCAUCACAGGUGUGAUAACUAUCUACGCUUGUGGUUUUCCACUAGGUAACCUUCAGCAAUGGAGGUUCACCGGAGCUCACAAAUGUCUCUCCUUGCCAAGGACAGAUUUUGACCAUUUGAUCUCAAAUCAGGUAGGACUACCCGCUGAACUUAAGCAUAUCAAUAAGCGGAGGA